UGUAUGUAAUUUAAAAAAAAAAACAAGCUGUGACCUUGACAACAGGAUA
Molecule: transfer RNA, 49 nt
Filed under: Pseudechis australis (mulga snake)
Lineage: Eukaryota; Metazoa; Chordata; Lepidosauria; Squamata; Elapidae
Description: partial tRNA-His
Source: RNAcentral